UACGGAGGGUGCAAGCGUUAAUCGGAAUUACUGGGCGUAAAGCGUGCGCAGGCGGUUUGUUAAGUCCGCUGUGAAAUCCCCGAGCUCAACUUGGGAAUUGCAGUGGAUACUGGCAGGCUGGAGUAUGGUAGAGGAAGGUGGAAUUCCCGGUGUAGCAGUGAAAUGCGUAGAUAUCGGGAGGAACACCUGUGGCGAAAGCGGCGCACUGGACCACAACUGACGCUGAGGCGCGAAAGCUAGGGGAGCAAACAGG
This 253-nucleotide ribosomal RNA is filed under the name uncultured bacterium. Its description in RNAcentral is "partial 16S ribosomal RNA". It matches the Rfam family "Bacterial small subunit ribosomal RNA", at positions 524 to 776 of the family's 1533-position model. The record is from RNAcentral.